AUUGAACGCUGGCGGCAUGCCUUACACAUGCAAGUCGAACGGCAGCGCGGACUUCGGUCUGGCGGCGAGUGGCGAACGGGUGAGUAAUACAUCGGAACGUACCCUGUUGUGGGGGAUAACUAGUCGAAAGAUUAGCUAAUACCGCAUACGACCUGAGGGUGAAAGUGGGGGACCGGAAACGGCCUCAUGCAGCCGGAGCGGCCGAUGUCUGAUUAGCUAGUUGGUGGGGUAAAGGCCCACCAAGGCGACGAUCAGUAGCUGGUCUGAGAGGACGAUCAGCCACACUGGGACUGAGACACGGCCCAGACUCCUACGGGAGGCAGCAGUGGGGAAUUUUGGACAAUGGGGGCAACCCUGAUCCAGCAAUGCCGCGUGUGUGAAGAAGGCCUUCGGGUUGUAAAGCACUUUUGUCCGGAAAGAAAUCGAGCUGGUUAAUACCUGGCGUGGAUGACGGUACCGGAAGAAUAAGCACCGGCUAACUACGUG
This 486-nucleotide ribosomal RNA is filed under the name uncultured bacterium. Its description in RNAcentral is "partial 16S ribosomal RNA". It matches the Rfam family "Bacterial small subunit ribosomal RNA", at positions 30 to 507 of the family's 1533-position model. The record is from RNAcentral.